UGUGAAAGCCCAGGGCUCAACCCUGGGAUUGCAUGNGAAACUGUCGGGCUAGAGUACAGGAGAGGUAAGUGGAAUUCCUAGUGUAGCGGUGAAAUGCGUAGAUAUUAGGAAGAACACCAGUGGCGAAGGCGACUUACUGGACUGAAACUGACGCUGAGUCACGAAAGCGUGGGGAGCRAACAGGAUUAGAUACCCUGGUAGUCCACGCUGUAAACGAUGAKUGCUAGGUGUUGGGGGGAGACCCUCGGUGCCGCAGCUAACRMAAUAAGCACUCCNCCUGGGGAGUACGGUCGCAA
This 296-nucleotide ribosomal RNA is filed under the name uncultured Eubacterium sp. RNAcentral describes it as "partial 16S ribosomal RNA". It matches the Rfam family "Bacterial small subunit ribosomal RNA", at positions 593 to 891 of the family's 1533-position model. Lineage: Bacteria; Bacillati; Bacillota; Clostridia; Eubacteriales; Eubacteriaceae. The record is from RNAcentral.